RNAcentral lists this transfer RNA (77 nucleotides) under Candidatus Accumulibacter sp. 66-26. RNAcentral's name for it is "tRNA-Pro". It matches the Rfam family "tRNA". Rfam says of the family: Transfer RNA (tRNA) molecules are approximately 80 nucleotides in length. Their secondary structure includes four short double-helical elements and three loops (D, anti-codon, and T loops). Lineage: Bacteria; Pseudomonadati; Pseudomonadota; Betaproteobacteria. The record is from RNAcentral.
CCGGGUGUAGCGCAGUCUGGUAGCGCAUCUGUUUUGGGAACAGAGGGUCGGGGGUUCAAAUCCCUCCACCCGGACCA